Molecule: ribosomal RNA, 482 nt
Filed under: uncultured bacterium
Lineage: Bacteria
Description: bacterial SSU rRNA
Rfam family: Bacterial small subunit ribosomal RNA
Source: RNAcentral
GACGAACGCUGGCGGCGUGCUUAACACAUGCAAGUCGUACGGUAAGGCCCUUUCGGGGGUACACGAGUGGCGAACGGGUGAGUAACACGUGAGUAACCUGCCCACAACUUUGGGAUAACGCUAGGAAACUGGUGCUAAUACUGGAUAUGUGCUCCUGCUGCAUGGUGGGGGUUGGAAAGCUCCGGCGGUUGUGGAUGGACUCGCGGCCUAUCAGCUUGUUGGUGGGGUAGUGGCCUACCAAGGCGGCGACGGGUAGCCGGCCUGAGAGGGUGACCGGCCACAUUGGGACUGAGAUACGGCCCAGACUCCUACGGGAGGCAGCAGUGGGAAUAUUGCACAAUGGGCGCAAGCCUGAUGCAGCAACGCCGCGUGCGGGAUGACGGCCUUCGGGUUGUAAACCGCUUUCAGCAGGGACGAAGCUUUUUUUGUGACGGUACCUGCAGAAGAAGCACCGGCUAACUACGUGCCAGCCGCCGCGGUAA